CUAUCUGAUUGGUACGCACCUGCCUGAAACCAUAGAAGUCACGCUCACGACGGUCACGGUAGCCACCGCUGUAUUCAAAGGUAUUCCGGCUUCGUACCGCUCCGUUCUCUUUGUAUCCACCCGUAGUCUCAACAGAUGACAUCACCCAGCGACGUCCCGGCAGGUCGUAACUCGGAGCCGUCUGCUCAUACCCGAUAUGGAUAUGUCCGCCGAAAGGAAGCGUCACGGAGCGCAGCAUGUUCGUUCUGCCCGUAAGGUUGCGGUAGACUAUGAGCCGCCUCCCUCCGUCAGCAACGACGAUAUCUGGAUGUCCGUCACCGUCGAUAUCCCUUAUCGCAGCCUCGGUACAGCUGACGCCGUCAGAAGCAAAUCCUCCUUGAAUGUAAUCUUGCA
Molecule: ribosomal RNA, 393 nt
Filed under: Prevotella multiformis DSM 16608
Lineage: Bacteria; Pseudomonadati; Bacteroidota; Bacteroidia; Bacteroidales; Prevotellaceae
Description: partial 23S ribosomal RNA
Source: RNAcentral